CCUACGGGCGGCAGCAGUGGGGAAUAUUGGGCAAUGGGCGCAAGCCUGACCCAGCAACGCCGCGUGAAGGAAGAAGGCUUUCGGGUUGUAAACUUCUUUUCUCAGGGACGAAGACAGUGACGGUACCUGACGAAUAAGCCACGGCUAACUACGUGCCAGCAGCCGCGGUAAUACGUAGGUGGCAAGCGUUAUCCGGAUUUAUUGGGUGGAAAGGGCGUGUAGGCGGGAGCGCAAGUCAGAUGUGAAAACUCAGGGCUCAACCCUGGGCCUGCAUUUGAAACUGUGUUUCUUGAGUGCUGGAGAGGCAAGCGGAAUUCCGUGUGUAGCGGUGAAAUGCGUAGAUAUACGGAGGAACACCAGUGGCGAAGGCGGAUUGCUGGACAGUAACUGACGCUGAGGCGCGAAAGCGUGGGGAGCAAACAGGAUUAGAUACCCUUGUAGUC
RNAcentral lists this ribosomal RNA (443 nucleotides) under uncultured bacterium. RNAcentral's name for it is "partial 16S ribosomal RNA". It matches the Rfam family "Bacterial small subunit ribosomal RNA", at positions 338 to 795 of the family's 1533-position model. The record is from RNAcentral.